Long non-coding RNA from Daktulosphaira vitifoliae (grape phylloxera), 1281 nucleotides. RefSeq lists it as uncharacterized. NCBI's taxonomy places the organism in Eukaryota, Metazoa, Arthropoda, Insecta, Hemiptera, Phylloxeridae. The record is from RefSeq and is a predicted model, not a curated record. The transcript has 4 exons.
AAGAACUUAUAAUAAUCAUGUUAAAAAUGUUGUACUCACAUGGGUUAAAUACUACAUAUAAAACAUAAGUUUCUAAAAUUAUGGUUGUUGUUAUUGAGGUGGAUAGGAACUGUACAUGCACCCAAGUAUUAAAUAAAUUUGCGAAAAAACGAAACGUAUUAAAAAUUCAAAAAUAUCCGUUAGACUUCAUGAAAUUCUCUCCAGAUGUUUUUUUCUUUUAAACGUCAACAAAUUUAAACCAAUCACAGUAUCAUAAGAAAAGCUAAAUCAUCACUUUGAAUUUUACUGUGAGUGUAAAGAGACUGUAGGGUGUUAGUCAUUAUUUGGAAUUGAAACCCACAUCAUGUCAAUACAGGUUCAAAAAAAAUUAAACAAGAAAACCUAUUCAUUGUCGGGUAUCGAAGAAGAAUAUUUUAAUAAUUUAAGCAGUAUAAAUAUUGAAGAAUUCUCACAAGAUUUAACUGAAGAAUUAUUCCCUGAUGUUUGGUUCAUGGAAGAUUAUCCCGUUCAAGUCGAAAUAGAAUCAUCCGAUAAAUAUUCCAUAAUCGAUUGUACUCAACAUCCACCGUAGGCAAUGGAUAUGAGACUAUUUGGUCAUGAAUCAUAUGUUGAUUCGUUUGUUGCAUCGAUAGAGAAUAAUUAUAUAUUCUCUGGUUGACAUCUGGAAAAAUUCAUGUAUGGAGGAGAAUUUGAUGGAGUUAAUUACUCAAGCAACAUGGCAGGAUAAUGCAAAUUCUUUGGUGAAUUCUCACUUAGAUUCACAACCGUCAGAAAAUUCAAACAUGGAAGAUAGUCUGAUGGAGUUAAUUACUCAACACACAUUGGAUCAUAUUGUAAAAUCUAUGGAUGAUGAUGAUAACGAAGAAAUAAAACGAAACGUUACGUGUGGGAACAAUGAUUUUUACGAUGAAAAAAGAGCAUUAGAAGUAGAUUUAAUAACUCUCAAGGCGAUGGAAGAGUAUGAAAAAAAAUUGAAAAACAAAAAUAAAAAAAAUUGUUUACAAUGAUAAUUAUUUAUUUAAAAAAUUUAAAAAUAAUAUAAUGAUUACAAUUGUAAAUUUUCACAAAUUAUAAUAUAACAAUUACCAUUGUAAAUGUGUUGAUUUGAAAUAACAUAGAUUAAACUACCUUGUGUACUUCACUAGUCAUUGCGUUGUACUCGAAAAUUUUAUCAUGUAAUAUAAGACAAUAUGCUGACGUAUCGUUUGGUAUAGGAAUCUUGGUUUCGAAUUCAAUUCGAACGUCUACAGGAGCAUUUUUAAUUUUUUCAUUCUGUUUCGA